This 405-nucleotide ribosomal RNA is filed under the name uncultured prokaryote. RNAcentral's name for it is "bacterial SSU rRNA". It matches the Rfam family "Bacterial small subunit ribosomal RNA", at positions 355 to 776 of the family's 1533-position model. RNAcentral also lists the same sequence under 1 other name. The record is from RNAcentral.
UGGGGAAUAUUGCGCAAUGGGGGGAACCCUGACGCAGCAACGCCGCGUGAGUGAAGAAGGCCUUCGGGUCGUAAAGCUCUGUCAUAGCCGACGAAGAAUGACUGUAAGCUAUGAGGAAGCCACGGCUAACUACGUGCCAGCAGCCGCGGUAAUACGUAGGUGGCGAGCGUUGUCCGGAAUUACUGGGCGUAAAGGGUGCGUAGGCGGAUAAUCAAGUCAGAUGUGAAAGUCCAUGGCUUAACUGUGGGAGUGCAUUUGAGACUGAAGAUCUAGAGUGCAGGAGAGGGAAGCGGAAUUCCUAGUGUAGCGGUGAAAUGCGUAGAUAUUAGGAAGAACACCAGUGGCGAAGGCGGCUUUCUGGACUGUAACUGACGCUGAAGCACGAAAGCGUGGGGAGCAAACAGG